This 133-nucleotide ribosomal RNA is filed under the name uncultured bacterium. Its description in RNAcentral is "partial 16S ribosomal RNA". It matches the Rfam family "Bacterial small subunit ribosomal RNA", at positions 356 to 480 of the family's 1533-position model. The record is from RNAcentral.
GGGGAAUCUUGCGCAAUGGGCGAAAGCCUGACGCAGCGACACCGUGUGAAGGAUGAAGGUCUUCGGAUCGUAAACUUCUGUCAAUUGGGGACGAAGGUGCUAGAGUUAAUACCUUCUAGCAUUGACGGUACCC